Molecule: ribosomal RNA, 465 nt
Filed under: uncultured bacterium
Lineage: Bacteria
Description: partial 16S ribosomal RNA
Rfam family: Bacterial small subunit ribosomal RNA
Source: RNAcentral
CCUACGGGAGGCAGCAGUAGGGAAUCUUCCACAAUGGGCGAAAGCCUGAUGGAGCAACGCCGCGUGGGUGAAGAAGGUCUUCGGAUCGUAAAACCCUGUUGUUAGAGAAGAAAGUGCGUGAGAGUACCUGUUCACGUUUCGACGGUAUCUAACCAGACAGCCACGGCUAACUACGUGCCAGCAGCCGUGGUAAUACGUAGGUGGCAAGCGUUUUCCGGAUUUAUUGGGCGUAAAGGGAACGCAGGCGGGCGUUUAAGUCUGAUGUGAAAGCCUUCGGCUUAACCGGAGUAGUGCAUUGGAGACUGGGAGACUUGAGUGCGGAAGAGGAGAAUGGAACUCCAUGUGUAGCGGUGAAAUGCGUAGAUAUAUGGAAGAACACCAGUGGCGAAAGCGGCUCUCUGGGCUGUAACUGACGCUGAGGUUCGAAAGCGUGGGUAGCAAACAGGAUUAGAUACCCUAGUAGUC